Molecule: ribosomal RNA, 253 nt
Filed under: uncultured bacterium
Lineage: Bacteria
Description: partial 16S ribosomal RNA
Rfam family: Bacterial small subunit ribosomal RNA
Source: RNAcentral
UACAGAGGGGGCAAGCGUUAUUCGGAAUUAUUGGGCGUAAAGGGCGCGUAGGCGGCUUGGCAAGUGGAAGGUGAAAUCCCUCGGCUUAACCGAGGAACUGCCCUCCAGACUGCUUUGCUUGAGGCCGGGAGAGGUGAGUGGAAUUCCCAGUGUAGCGGUGAAAUGCGUUGAUAUCCUAAGGAACACCCGUGGCGAAAGCGGCUCACUGGGUCUCUUCUGACGCUGAGGCACGAAAGCUAGGGUAGCGAACGGG